Molecule: long non-coding RNA, 266 nt
Filed under: Elaeis guineensis (African oil palm)
Lineage: Eukaryota; Viridiplantae; Streptophyta; Magnoliopsida; Arecales; Arecaceae
Description: long non-coding RNA (EGUI_LNC030973)
Source: RNAcentral
GGCCAUGCCUUUCGAAAGCCCUACAAAAAUGCUCGCAACUCCAAACAUGAUUCUCCAAUAUGCAAUGUAGACUACCCUAGCCCCCACAAGAACCAAGUAAUUUCUCUUCCAAAAUGCCUCAACUUGCAAUCCAACUGUCUCAUGGUACCAUGAGAAUGUCUAAAGCAUGAUAAGAAAAAAGAUUUCAUAGAAACCCCUUAUCCACAUGUCACGAAACUCCUUAUCCACAUAUCAAAUGGAGGCUUCUGCCUCUGUUUUAAUAUAUA